AUUGACCGCUUUCUUCCUUCCUAACACAUGUAAGUCGAGCGGAUGAAGGGAGCUUGCUCCUGGAUUCAGCGGCGGACGGGUGAGUAAUGCCUAGGAAUCUGCCUGGUAGUGGGGGAUAACGUCCGGAAACGGGCGCUAAUACCGCAUACGUCCUGAGGGAGAAAGUGGGGGAUCUUCGGACCUCACGCUAUCAGAUGAGCCUAGGUCGGAUUAGCUAGUUGGUGGGGUAAAGGCCUACCAAGGCGACGAUCCGUAACUGGUCUGAGAGGAUGAUCAGUCACACUGGAACUGAGACACGGUCCAGACUCCUACGGGAGGCAGCAGUGGGGAAUAUUGGACAAUGGGCGAAAGCCUGAUCCAGCCAUGCCGCGUGUGUGAAGAAGGUCUUCGGAUUGUAAAGCACUUUAAGUUGGGAGGAAGGGCAGUAAGUUAAUACCUUGCUGUUUUGACGUUACCAACAGAAUAAGCACCGGCUAACUUCGUG
Molecule: ribosomal RNA, 484 nt
Filed under: uncultured bacterium
Lineage: Bacteria
Description: partial 16S ribosomal RNA
Rfam family: Bacterial small subunit ribosomal RNA
Source: RNAcentral